GACGAACGCUGGCGGCGUGCUUAACACAUGCAAGUCGAACGGAAAGGCCCUGCUUUUGUGGGGUGCUCGAGUGGCGAACGGGUGAGUAACACGUGAGUAACCUGCCCUUGACUUUGGGUUAACUUCAGGAAACUGGGGCUAAUACCGGAUAGGAGCUCCUGCUGCAUGGUGGGGGUUGGAAAGUUUCGGCGGUUGGGGAUGGACUCGCGGCUUAUCAGCUUGUUGGUGGGGUAGUGGCUUACCAAGGCAUUGACGGGUAGCCGGCCUGAGAGGGUGACCGGCCACAUUGGGACUGAGAUACGGCCCAGACUCCAACGGGAGGCAGCAGUGGGGAAUAUUGCACAGUGGGCGGGAGCCUGAUGCAGCAACGCCGCGUGCGGGAUGACGGCCUUCGGGUUGUGAACCGCUUUCGCCUGUGACGAAGCGUGAGUGACGGUAAUGGGUAAAGAAGCACCGGCUAACUACGUG
RNAcentral lists this ribosomal RNA (468 nucleotides) under uncultured bacterium. RNAcentral describes it as "partial 16S ribosomal RNA". It matches the Rfam family "Bacterial small subunit ribosomal RNA", at positions 28 to 507 of the family's 1533-position model. The record is from RNAcentral.